CUUUGAUUUUUUUUUUAAAUUCAUGCUCGUCUCUAGAUCUGCAAGUGUUGAUCGGGAUUAAACACGUGUUACCAUAUGAUCCAAUCGCAGCUUACCGCCCAAAAUUGAUGACAAGUUGAAUGAUUUUCUUCUAGAUUUGCUGCUUAUUUGGACGUGUAUUACAUGAACACUUUUUGUUUAUAGGAUCAAUCGUGCAUUGGUGAGUUGAUAGGUAUUUUAUCUUUUGAUAUUAGAUUUGAUUUUUAUUUAUUUAUUUCCUGUCUUAUUUUUUUUAUUGAAAUGUUCACG
RNAcentral lists this long non-coding RNA (288 nucleotides) under Mytilus galloprovincialis (Mediterranean mussel). The record is from RNAcentral. Lineage: Eukaryota; Metazoa; Mollusca; Bivalvia; Mytilida; Mytilidae.